AGUGAACGCUGGCGGCAGGCCUAACACAUGCGAGUCGAGCGGCAGCGCGGGGGCAACCCUGGCGGCGAGCGGCGGACGGGUGAGGAAUUCGUCGGAAUCUGCCUUUUUGUGGGGGAUAACGUAGGGAAACUUACGCUAAUACCGCAUACGUCCUACGGGAGAAAGUGGGGGACCGCAAGGCCUCACGCAGAAAGAUGAGCCGACGACCGAUUAGCUAGUUGGUGGGGUAAAGGCCCACCAAGGCGACGAUCGGUAGCUGGUCUGAGAGGAUGAUCAGCCACACUGGGACUGAGACACGGCCCAGACUCCUACGGGAGGCAGCAGUGGGGAAUAUUGGACAAUGGGCGCAAGCCUGAUCCAGCCAUGCCGCGUGUGUGAAGAAGGCCUUCGGGUUGUAAAGCACUUUUGUCCGGAAAGAAAUCCCUGGAGCUAAUACCUUCGGGGGAUGACGGUACCGGAAGAAUAAGCACCGGCUAACUUCGUG
Molecule: ribosomal RNA, 484 nt
Filed under: uncultured bacterium
Lineage: Bacteria
Description: partial 16S ribosomal RNA
Rfam family: Bacterial small subunit ribosomal RNA
Source: RNAcentral